UCCAGUCAUGCAGUGUAUUCCUUGACACUGGAGAACAGAGAGUCUGUCGAGUGUAGCACACAACAAAUGCAGCACAGGAGGUGUAGGAGGGCAGGGGGGCGUUCACUGGCCUGUACCAACACUCCAAGAUUCUUAUAUGGGGCAGGGAGGUAGUCUUGGGGGGAGAAAACUUUAAUUCUUAUGCACCUGAAGAUUCUUAUGAUGGGGCAGGGAGGUAGUCUUGGGGGGAGAAAACUUUAAU
This is a long non-coding RNA of Eriocheir sinensis (Chinese mitten crab), 241 nucleotides long. RefSeq lists it as uncharacterized. The record is from RefSeq and is a predicted model, not a curated record. The transcript is spliced from 2 exons. NCBI's taxonomy places the organism in Eukaryota, Metazoa, Arthropoda, Malacostraca, Decapoda, Varunidae.